AAGCCACCUUUGAGGACCCAUGGCCAGGUUUGUAGUAUUCCCAAUAACAGGAUCUGGACCUUCAUAUUCUGGGUCCUGUAUGUAAC
Molecule: long non-coding RNA, 86 nt
Organism: Octodon degus (degu)
Lineage: Eukaryota; Metazoa; Chordata; Mammalia; Rodentia; Octodontidae
Exons: 3
Source: RefSeq, a predicted model, not a curated record